GUCCUAGCCGUAAACGGUGAUCACUAGGUGUUGGGAGCAUCGACCCUUCCAGUGCCGCAGCUAACGCAUUAAGUGAUCCGCCUGGGGAGUACGGCCGCAAGGUUGAAACUCAAAGGAAUUGACGGGGGCCCCGCACAAGCGGUGGAGCAUGUGGUUCAAUUCGACGCAACGCGAAGAACCUUACCCAGACUUGACAUGUACUGGACAGGUGUGGAAACACAUCCUUCCUUCGGGACCAGUGCACAGGUGCUGCAUGGCUGUCGU
This 264-nucleotide ribosomal RNA is filed under the name uncultured bacterium. Its description in RNAcentral is "partial 16S ribosomal RNA". It matches the Rfam family "Bacterial small subunit ribosomal RNA", at positions 793 to 1055 of the family's 1533-position model. The record is from RNAcentral.